AUUGGUGUCAUAUUGGCUUAGUAGGGAAAGUAGGGACAUUUUUAUUUUAUUUUAUUAUAUAUAUUUGUUUUACCUUUAUUUAACCAGGCAAGUCAGUUAAGAACAUAUUCUUAUUUUCAAUGACGGCCUGUGAACAGUGGGUUAACUGCGUUAAAAAAAAUAGUCAUAUGUUUCUACCAUAUCUGGUUCUCAAGUUAAUUUAGCAUGAUUAGCGUGAAUAGAAUGUCAUUAUGGUCAAAAAGUGGUCGCUGCUCCACUGGCAGAACGGCGCUAACUUCCAACGUCAACUGACAAGGUAUCAACUUCCAACGUCAACUGACAAGGUAUCAACUUCCAACGUCAACUGACAAGGUAUCAACUUCCAAUGUCAACUGACAAGGUAUCAACUUCCAACGUCAACUGACAAGGUAUAAACUUCCAAC
This is a long non-coding RNA of Oncorhynchus keta (chum salmon), 422 nucleotides long. RefSeq lists it as uncharacterized. Lineage: Eukaryota; Metazoa; Chordata; Actinopteri; Salmoniformes; Salmonidae. The record is from RefSeq and is a predicted model, not a curated record. The transcript is spliced from 3 exons.